GACGAACGCUGGCGGCGUGCCUAAUACAUGCAAGUCGAACGAGAGCGACCGGUGCUUGCACUGGUCAAUCUAGUGGCGAACGGGUGAGUAACACGUGGGUAACCUGCCCAUCAGAGGGGGAUAACAUCCGGAAACGGGUGCUAAAACCGCAUAGGUCUUCGAGCCGCAUGGCUUGAAGAGGAAAAGAGGCGCAAGCUUCUGCUGAUGGAUGGACCCGCGGUGCAUUAGCUAGUUGGUGAGGUAACGGCUCACCAAGGCCGUGAUGCAUAGCCGACCUGAGAGGGUGAUCGGCCACAUUGGGACUGAGACACGGCCCAAACUCCUACGGGAGGCAGCAGUAGGGAAUCUUCCGCAAUGGACGCAAGUCUGACGGAGCAACGCCGCGUGAGUGAAGAAGGUUUUCGGAUCGUAAAACUCUGUUGUUAGAGAAGAACAAGUGCUAGAGUAACUGUUAGCGCCUUGACGGUAUCUAACCAGAAAGCCACGGCUAACUACGUG
Molecule: ribosomal RNA, 498 nt
Filed under: uncultured bacterium
Lineage: Bacteria
Description: partial 16S ribosomal RNA
Rfam family: Bacterial small subunit ribosomal RNA
Source: RNAcentral